UACAGAGGUGCCAAGCGUUAGGCGGAAUCACUGGGCUUAAAGCGCGUGUAGGUGGACGGGUAAGUAUCUUGUGAAAUCCCACGGCUCAACCGUGGAACUGCUGGAUAUACUGCUUGUCUUGAGGCACUUAGGGGCAGCUGAAACAAAUGGUGGAGCGGUGAAAUGCGUAGAUAUCAUUUGGAACGCCAAAGGCGAAAGCAGGCUGCUGGGAGUGAUCUGACACUGAGACGCGAAAGCCAGGGGAGCAAACGGG
This 253-nucleotide ribosomal RNA is filed under the name uncultured bacterium. RNAcentral describes it as "partial 16S ribosomal RNA". It matches the Rfam family "Bacterial small subunit ribosomal RNA", at positions 524 to 776 of the family's 1533-position model. The record is from RNAcentral.